This 253-nucleotide ribosomal RNA is filed under the name uncultured bacterium. Its description in RNAcentral is "partial 16S ribosomal RNA". It matches the Rfam family "Bacterial small subunit ribosomal RNA", at positions 524 to 776 of the family's 1533-position model. The record is from RNAcentral.
UACGUAGGUGGCAAGCGUUAUCCGGAUUUACUGGGUGUAAAGGGAGCGCAGGCGGCACGGCAAGCCUGAUGUGAAAGCCCGCGGCCCAACCGCGGGACUGCAUUGGGAACUACCGGGCUGGAGUGCCGGAGAGGUAGGCGGAAUUCCUAGUGUAGCGGUGAAAUGCGUAGAUAUUAGGAGGAACACCAGUGGCGAAGGCGGCCUACUGGACGGUGACUGACGUUGAGGCUCGAAAGCGUGGGGAGCAAACAGG